Molecule: ribosomal RNA, 468 nt
Filed under: uncultured bacterium
Lineage: Bacteria
Description: partial 16S ribosomal RNA
Rfam family: Bacterial small subunit ribosomal RNA
Source: RNAcentral
GACGAACGCUGGCGGCGUGCUUAACACAUGCAAGUCGAACGGAAAGGCCCUGCUUUUGUUGGGUGCUCGAGUGGCGAACGGGUGAGUAACACGUGAGGAACCUGCCCUUGACUUUGUGAUAACUUCAGGAAACUGGGGCGAAUACCGGAUAGAAGCUCCUGCUGCAUGGUGUUGGUUGGAAAAUUUCGGUCGUGGGGGCUGGUCUAGCGGGUUACCAGCUGUUUAGGGGGGUAGGGGCGUUCAAGGCCUUUGACGGGUCGCCGCCAGGAGGGGGUGACCGGCCACCUUGGGACUGCGAUAGGGACCAGAAUGCUACGGGAGGCAGCAGUGGGGAAUAUUGCACAAUGGGCGGAAGCCUGAUGCGGCAACCCCGCGUGCGGGAUGACGGCCUUCGGGUUGUAAACCGCUUUCGCCUGUGACGAAGCGUGAGUGACGGUAAUGGGUAAAGAAGCAACGGCUAACUACGUG